RNAcentral lists this ribosomal RNA (433 nucleotides) under uncultured bacterium. RNAcentral's name for it is "partial 16S ribosomal RNA". It matches the Rfam family "Bacterial small subunit ribosomal RNA", at positions 29 to 507 of the family's 1533-position model. The record is from RNAcentral.
AACGAACGCUGGCGGCAUGCCUAACACAUGCAAGUCGAACGAGACCUUCGGGUCUAGUGGCGCACGGGUGCGUAACGCGUGGGAACCUGCCCUUAGGUUCGGAAUAACUCCCCGAAAGGGGUGCUAAUACCGGAUAAUGUCUUCGGACCAAAGAUUUAUCGCCUUUGGAUGGGCCCGCGUUGGAUUAGCUAGUUGGUAGGGUAAAAGCCUACCAAGGCGACGAUCCAUAGCUGGUCUGAGAGGAUGAUCAGCCACACUGGGACUGAGACACGGCCCAGACUCCUACGGGAGGCAGCAGUGGGGAAUAUUGGACAAUGGACGAAAGCCUGAUCCAGCAGUGCCGCGUGAGUGAUGAAGGCCUUAGGGUUGUAAAGCUCUUUUACCCGAGAUGAUAAUGACAGUACCGGGAGAAUAAGCUCCGGCUAACUCCGUG